RNAcentral lists this ribosomal RNA (253 nucleotides) under uncultured bacterium. RNAcentral's name for it is "partial 16S ribosomal RNA". It matches the Rfam family "Bacterial small subunit ribosomal RNA", at positions 524 to 776 of the family's 1533-position model. The record is from RNAcentral.
UACGUAGGUGGCAAGCGUUAUCCGGAAUUACUGGGCGUAAAGCGCACGCAGGCGGUCUUGUAAGCUUGACGUGAAAGCUCCCGGCUUAACUGGGAGAGGUCGUUGAAGACUGCAAGACUUGAGGAAAUGAGAGGGGUGUAGAAUUCCCGGUGUAGUGGUGGAAUGCGUAGAUAUCGGGGGGAAUACCAGUGGCGAAAGCGGCACCCUAGCAUUUUUCUGACGCUCAUGUGCGAAAGCGUGGGGAGCGAACGGG